CACUUUUUUCCACCAUUUCUUAACCUUUCCUCUUUCUCUCUCUAAACCAACUAACUGUAACAUAUCAAUGGAGGAGCGAGAAAAGUUUUGGAGGAUGAGAGAAGCACACAGUACCCUUCUCCAAGAUCAAGGUACUAUGAUGAUGAUGAUCACCAUACACAUGAUGACAGAUCAUGAUCAUCAAAUCCCAUCUGGGAACAGCCGAUUUCGAUUUGGAAGUAAGAUUAAUAAUAUUAAUUCCAUUUCGAUUACACCUUAAUCUUAAUCGGGUGCUAUCCUACAUGAGCUUAUUUCUCUGUCAUUUUAUUUUUGUUUCUUUCUUCGUUUUGAAUCUUCUUGACCUUGUAAGACCUUUUCUUGACCUUGUAAGACCCCAUCUCAUGUUUCUUUUCUUUCUUUACUCUUUUAUUAUUCGUUCUAUAUUAAUAUCUAUUGAUAUAGAGUCGUAUAAUAUCUUCUCCCGAUUUCCGGCCAACUCAUCUUCUCCUUCCUUGUCUAUCCCUCCUGAGCUUUUCCUAAAUAUAAGCAUGAAAAGACUGUUUUCCAAAGCUUCAUCAUCUUCCUUUCAUCAUCUUCCUUUGUGCAAGAGGCUUCAACAAACAGUGAAGAACUUAAUUAAAAGUUCAACUUAGGUUUAUCUUUAUUUUAUUUAUUUAAUUCUUCUUGUAGCUAUAUAUGUAGCUAGGGAUUUUCCAACAUAAAUAUGUAAUUUAAUGAAUAUAUAUAUAUAAAGUUGUAUGCCAUAUAGUUGGUGGUCCCUUGAGCUAGUAAAAUUGUAGUACUAUUGACAUAAAUAUAUAUAUAUAUAUAAAAUAUUGUUUUUAGUGGGAGAAAAAAUAAAAGUGAACUUAUAAAUAAAUAUUUAUUAAUUAGUUUGAAUUGUAUUAUUGUUGUUAUUAUUAUUAUUAUUGUGGAUCAGAAUAAAUAUUGCAGUAGUAGCAUAUGAGAGGAGGGGGGCAACAACAUUAUUAUUCAUCAUAUAUCAGUUUGGAUUGUUUUAUUAUAUGUUGUUGUUCUGAGUGAGAAAUUUUUAAUAAACAGAGAAUAAUUAUAAGCUCU
Molecule: long non-coding RNA, 1059 nt
Organism: Humulus lupulus (European hop)
Lineage: Eukaryota; Viridiplantae; Streptophyta; Magnoliopsida; Rosales; Cannabaceae
Exons: 2
Source: RefSeq, a predicted model, not a curated record